UAGUCCACGCCGUAAACGAUGAUCACUCGUUGUUGGCAAUACACCGUCAGCGACUGAACGAAAGUAUUAAGUGAUCCACCUGGGAAGUACGAUCGCAAGGUUGAAACUCAAAGGAAUUGACGGGGGGCCCGCACAAGCGGUGGAGCAUGUGGUUUAAUUCGAUGAUACGCGAGGAACCUUACCAGGGCUUAAAUGUAAGUUGCAUUAGUUAGAGAUAGCUAUUUCUUCGGACUACUUACAAGGUGCUGCAUGGUUGUCGUCAGCUCGUGCCGUGAGGUGUCAGGUUAAGUCCUAUAACGAGCGCAACCCCUGUUGUUAGUUGCCAGCGAUUCAAGUCGGGAACUCUAACAAGACUGCCGGUGCAAACCGUGAGGAAGGUGGGGAUGACGUCAAAUCAUCACGGCCCUUACGUCCUGGGCUACACACGUGCUACAAUGGUAGGUACAGAGAGCAGCCACUGCGCGAGCAGGAGCGAAUCUAUAAAACCUAUCACAGUUCGG
This 500-nucleotide ribosomal RNA is filed under the name uncultured bacterium. RNAcentral describes it as "bacterial SSU rRNA". It matches the Rfam family "Bacterial small subunit ribosomal RNA", at positions 791 to 1296 of the family's 1533-position model. The record is from RNAcentral.